RNAcentral lists this ribosomal RNA (519 nucleotides) under uncultured bacterium. RNAcentral describes it as "bacterial SSU rRNA". It matches the Rfam family "Bacterial small subunit ribosomal RNA", at positions 9 to 518 of the family's 1533-position model. The record is from RNAcentral.
GAGUUGAUCCUGGCUCAGAACGAACGCUGGCGGCGCGUCUAAGCAUGCAAGUCGAACGGCAAGAGGUAGCAAUACCUCCUAGAGUGGCGGACUGGUGAGUAACACGUGGGUGACAUACCCUUCAGAUGGGGAUAGCUAUUAGAAAUAGUAGAUAAUACCGAAUACGAGCACAGGGGUUAGAGAUCUGUGAGGAAAGGAGCUAAGGCUCCGCUGAAGGAAUGGCCUGCGGCCCAUUAGCUAGUUGGUGAGGUAAGAGCCCACCAAGGCGAUGAUGGGUAUCCCGGCCUUAGAGGGUGAACGGACACAUUGGGACUGAGAUACGGCCCAGACUCCUACGGGAGGCAGCAGCUAAGAAUAUUCCGCAAUGGACGAAAGUCUGACGGAGCGACGCCGCGUGGAUGAAGAAGGCCGGAAGGUUGUAAAAUCCUUUUGAAACUGAAGAAUAAGCGUUGUAGGGAAUGACAGCGUGGUGACAGUAGGUUUUGAAUAAGCAACGGCUAAUUACGUGCCAGCCGCUGC